Molecule: ribosomal RNA, 433 nt
Filed under: uncultured bacterium
Lineage: Bacteria
Description: partial 16S ribosomal RNA
Rfam family: Bacterial small subunit ribosomal RNA
Source: RNAcentral
AACGAACGCUGGCGGCAUGCCUAACACAUGCAAGUCGAACGAGACCUUCGGGUCUAGUGGCGCACGGGUGCGUAACGCGUGGGAACCUGCCCUUAGGUUCGGAAUAACUCCCCGAAAGGGGUGCUAAUACCGGAUAAUGUCUUCGGACCAAAGAUUUAUCGCCUUUGGAUGGGCCCGCGUUGGAUUAGCUAGUUGGUAGGGUAAAAGCCUACCAAGGCGACGAUCCAUAGCUGGUCUGAGAGGAUGAUCGGCCACACUGGGACUGAGACACGGCCCAGACUCGUACGGGAGGCAGCAGUGGGGAAUAUUGGACAAUGGGCGAAAGCCUGAUACAGCAAUGCCGCGUGAGUGAUGAAGGCCUUAGGGUUGUAAAGCUCUUUUACCCGGGAUGAUAAUGACAGUACCGGGAGAAUAAGCUCCGGCUAACUACGUG